GACGUAGGUGGCGAACGUUAUCCGGAAUUACUGGGCGUAAAGGGCGCGUAGGCGGCCACCUAAGUCGGAUGUGAAAGCCCCUGGCUCAACUGGGGAAGUGCACCCGAAACUGAGUGGCUUGAGUACUAAAGAGGGUCGCGGAAUUCCCGGUGUAGAGGUGAAAUUCGUAGAUAUCGGGAGGAACACCGGUGGCGAAGGCAGCUCGCUGGGACGUUACUGACGCUGAGACGCGAAAGCGUGGGUAGCAAACAGG
This 253-nucleotide ribosomal RNA is filed under the name uncultured bacterium. RNAcentral's name for it is "partial 16S ribosomal RNA". It matches the Rfam family "Bacterial small subunit ribosomal RNA", at positions 524 to 776 of the family's 1533-position model. The record is from RNAcentral.